Tachysurus fulvidraco (yellow catfish) is the source of this 803-nucleotide long non-coding RNA. RefSeq lists it as uncharacterized. The transcript is spliced from 3 exons. NCBI's taxonomy places the organism in Eukaryota, Metazoa, Chordata, Actinopteri, Siluriformes, Bagridae. The record is from RefSeq and is a predicted model, not a curated record.
UACACACGUGGUUCAGAGCGCGGUCACGCAGAGGGCGUUCCCAUAGCGUUUCAACGCAGCAUCUCGUUCCUCAGGAACCUAGAGACUUUUAUUAUCGUGUGAAUAAUCACAUAUACUAAUAAAGCUAAAAAAAAAAGUACAACAAAGGAACAAUAAAAGAUUAUGAUUAGAAAUACUGUUUAGCCUUCAAAAUAAUGCUAACAUGAUUUAUGACUCAAACAGAACCAGCCCUAUUUGUACCCAAUUCCUGGAGGGUUAAAACCUGGAUUGGCUUUGUUUUUCCAAGGAGUAGUUCCUUUAGGAUCCAAGGGCUUUGAAAUAAAUCAAAAGGUUGGGCCACAUGAACAUGAUGAAAACAUCUUCCAGUUCAAGACUGACCUAUCAAGUGUGGUCUAUAAUAACUACCAUAAUGGUGAAUGGGAGCAACAAAUAUACAAGGAGGAUACCAUAUUUGUUGAAGGGGAAGCCUUUGAUAUCUUUAUGCUUACUAAACAAGGAAAAUAUGAGGUGGGAAGGAAAAUGUGUGGAGAAACAGUGAUGAUGUCAAUAACAUGAUAUUAAAUCUUUUCUUUUACCUGUUUAGGUAUUUGUAAAUGGACGUCAGUUAAGUAAGUUUACAGAAAAGAGAUCAAUAAGUGAUGUGUCCAUAAUUGAAAUCACUGGAAACGUCUUCAUGAACACUUUUGCCAUUAUUCAGGUGGAUUACACUAAUCUGAUCCUUGACAUUGCAGCCCUUAUGUGAGGAUAUCACCAGGCUACAUCAUUCUUUCAUUUACUGGUUUGUGCAAGUGACUUAGUGAUGG